ACCCCAAUUGACAUGGCCUACGUCGGCGUUUGAACUCUGAAGAAACCUCCUCUCUCUCUCUCUCUCAUGGCAACAGGAGCUUAUUUCCUAACUCCCUCUCCUCGUCAUCCACCUUCUACAACAAUAUCAUCAUCUUCUUCUUCAUGUCAAAUCAAAUUAUUUACCACCGGAAUUUCAAUUCAGACGAAAUAUGAACCUCACCGAAGAAGAACCAUACCUAAAACCUCAUGUUGUGCUAAUUCUCCAUCGCAGAAUAAAAGGCCAUUAACUUCAACUGAUAUCACUGGUUCAUCAAAGGAUGGCGCUGGAAUCCGUGUGGCGUAUCAGGGCGUUAGUGGGGCGUACAGUGAAUCUGCAGCUGAGAAAGCAUACCCAAACUGUGAAACUGUCCCUUGUGAGCAGUUUGAUAUUGCAUUUCAGGCAGUUGAAAACUGGAUCGCAGACAGAGCUGUUUUGCCUGCUGAGAAUUCUCUGGGUGGUAGCAUCCACCGAAAUUACGAUCUCUUACUUCGUCACAGGUUACAUAUUGUUGGAGAAGUGCAACUUUCUGUCCGACACUGCUUAUUAGCGAAUCAUGGUGUCAAACUUGAAGAUCUUAAAAGGGUUCUCAGUCAUCCGCAAGCUCUUGCACAGUGUGAGCACAAAUUAACGAGUCUACACGUGGUUCGGGAAUCUGUUGAUGAUACAGCUGGUGCUGCACAGUUUGUUGCUCUGCAUAAACUCGAAGACACAGCUGCAGUUGCUAGUAUAAGUGCUGCAAGGAUAUAUGAUUUGAAUGUUCUAGCUCAAGAUAUACAGGACGAUUCAGACAAUAUCACUCGCUUUCUGAUGCUAGCAAGAGAUCCAAUUAUUCCUGGCACCGAUAGACCCUUCAAAACUAGCAUAGUUUUUUCUCUCGAUGAGGGUCCCGGUAUGCUUUACAAGGCACUUGCUGUUUUUUCUAUGAGAGAUAUCAAUCUCACCAAGAUUGAAAGUCGUCCUCAGCGGAAACGUCCUCUUCUACGGCUUGUUGGAAACAAUGAUGGUUUGAAAGUCAAAGUCAAACAAUUCGUAGACAAAGGGUACACAACAAUAUGAACAACUUUACAAUGUCAAUGGGUCCUGGUUGAAAGGUUGACCCGUCAGGCAUUUCGACUAUCUCUUCUACUGUGAUUUUGAAGCAUCAAUGGCUGACCACAAUGCCCAAAACGCGCUUAAGCAUUUAAAGGAGUUCGCGACGUUUUUGAGAGUUCUUGGGAGCUACCCAAUGGACGUCAACUUGUUAUGAGUAUAUAAACCAACCGAAACAAUUUUGACUCAUCUUGGUCAAACUCUAGAUGGUAAUACAUUGAAGGUCAAACGUUAAGAUCGAUGCUUCAAAAUUUGGAAAGAAAAUGGAUCCGAAUAUUACUGACCAUUGCUACUUGGCUCCUGUUUGAGAAUAGUUACGCUUUAGUUUGACUUUGAAGUUAUUAACCGAGCAAGUAUAGCUUGGCUUGCAGUUCUUACCAGUCUAGCUGCUUAAAGUUA
Molecule: RNA transcript, 1509 nt
Organism: Helianthus annuus (common sunflower)
Lineage: Eukaryota; Viridiplantae; Streptophyta; Magnoliopsida; Asterales; Asteraceae
Gene name: arogenate dehydratase/prephenate dehydratase 2, chloroplastic
Exons: 12
Source: RefSeq, a predicted model, not a curated record